Molecule: long non-coding RNA, 154 nt
Organism: Triticum aestivum (bread wheat)
Lineage: Eukaryota; Viridiplantae; Streptophyta; Magnoliopsida; Poales; Poaceae
Exons: 3
Source: RefSeq, a predicted model, not a curated record
UUUCUCUUCCGAUCUGGACAGGUUAUUCACAUUUAAUUUGAUGGUCAGAGGCAAAUUGAAAGCUAAGCAGUGGUAAUUAAGACCCCCGAGGGAAAAUAGGGAUGUCUCCUACGUUACCCAUAAUAUGUGGAAGUAUCGACGUAAUUUCAUAGAG